RNAcentral lists this transfer RNA (61 nucleotides) under Trichinella zimbabwensis. RNAcentral's name for it is "tRNA-Leu". The record is from RNAcentral. Lineage: Eukaryota; Metazoa; Nematoda; Enoplea; Trichinellida; Trichinellidae.
AUCAUUCUGGCAGAUAAAGUGCAGUAAAUUUAGAAUUUAAACAUACGAAAAGUGAAUGAUA